Non-coding RNA from Paramuricea clavata, 1021 nucleotides. NCBI's taxonomy places the organism in Eukaryota, Metazoa, Cnidaria, Anthozoa, Malacalcyonacea, Plexauridae. The record is from the annotation of a GenBank genome assembly.
CUUUACUGAAAAUUUUGAAAGGUACAGUCAUACGAGUGGGGAUGAUAGAUAUAAUGAUUUUGUAGUGUUGCCUUUUCCUGGCUCCAAGAACUUGGUUCCUGUAUGAUCAAUAUAAAUCUUCGCAAGCAAAAUUGUUCGCGGAAAGAUCUUUGUUCGGUUCGUUUUACCUUAAAGUAUCGUGUGGCUACGUAAAUACAAAUAUGUCACAAAAAUUGUCUAUUCUAUAUAUUACGUAAGCUGCGAGCUAAGUAUUUGAAGCUUAGGAUAGGAAGAAUCUAUGACAACGGUGUAUUUUCCUGAGGUCUGAGGACGACUAUAGCUACGCUGAGAAUAUGUACUCGAUCAUUAUAUACAAUUAACUGAAGAAGAAAUGGAUAUUAUAUCUGUAUUUAGCUAAAGCUUUUGUAACAAGAAACUAUCACAUGAACUUCUGUCAUAAAGUAAUAUUCUUCAUUAAGCUCUCGUGGUUUGUGUCUUCGAAGAAGAUCAGAAAGUCUUAGACGGUUUCAUAUGUUCAUUGACCGGCAUACAAAAUGCCUUCUCUCGCGUGAGGAAGUACUUUGAAGCUUCAGUUCACACAAAAACGACGACAAGUUUAUUAUAAAACCUUGACUGGCUUUAUUAUGAUUUAUUAUUUAUCACUUACAGUGGACUGACGUUAUCCCAAAUCAUUGAAGGUAGAAAUCUUGUCGUCGAGACUGAAUGUAGCAAUACUGAAAACAUCAGAACAACACGAACAGAGAACACGAUUGCCAUGUUAAUUGUUGUAUAUACAGUAUAAUCGCCUUGUAAGCUUUAUUCAGAGUUACUGCUGUUCACACUGUGAUCUUUCUCUUUGACAGUUCUGUCAGAAUGACGCGUGCAAUACAAUUGUAAAUAUAUGUUGUUCUAACAAUUAGAGUUUAAAUAUAAUUUAUUCAUGAAUUCUUUGUGUUUCCUUUAUAUAAAUUAAUACAUGAAAUAAAACAGGCCGGCCGAUAUCGUCACAUCAAUUGUGAUUUCCAUGUGAUGUUAGCUUGCC